Molecule: ribosomal RNA, 510 nt
Filed under: Bradysia hilariformis
Lineage: Eukaryota; Metazoa; Arthropoda; Insecta; Diptera; Sciaridae
Description: partial 16S ribosomal RNA
Source: RNAcentral
GUCUUUUUGAAUUAAAUAUAAAGUCUAACCUGCCCAUUGAAUUUAAUUUAAAAGGCUGCGGUAUUUUGACUGUACAAAGGUAGCAUAAUCAUUAGUUUUUUAAUUGAAAACUCGUAUGAAUGGUUGAAUGAAAAAUUAACUUUUUUUUUCAAAAAUAUAGAACUUUAUUUUUUAGUUAAAAAGCUAAAAUAUUUUUAAAAGACGAGAAGACCCUAUAGAGUUUAAUAAUGAUUUUUUAUUAUUAUAAAAGAUUAUUUAUAUUAUUAAAAAUUUAUUUAUUUUAUUGGGGUGAUAAUAAAAUUUAAUAAACUUUUAUUUAUAAUAAAUAUUUAUAUAUAUAAUUAUUUGAUCCAAUUAUAUUGAUUAAAAUUUUAAAUUACCUUAGGGAUAACAGCGUAAUUUUUUUUUAAGUUCUUAUUAAUAAAAAAUUUUGCGACCUCGAUGUUGGAUUAAGAUUAAAUUUUAGGUGCAGCAGCUUAAAUUUUAAGUCUGUUCGACUUUUAAAUUCUU